GACGAACGCUGGCGGCGUGCUUAACACAUGCAAGUCGAACGGAAAGGCGCGGCGCUUGUUCGGUUCUCGAUUGCCGAACGGGGGAGUAACACGUGAGUAACCUGCCCUUGACUGUGUGGUAACUUCUGGGAACAGGGGCUAAUACCGGAUAUAAUCUCCUGCUGCAUGUGGGGCAUUGGUAAAUGUCGGCGGUUGGGGCUGGACUCGCGGCUUAUCAGCUGGUUUGGGGGGUAGUGGCUUACGAGGGCUAUGACGGGUAGCCGGCCUGAGAGGGUGACCGGCCACAUGGGGACUGCGAUACGGACCAGACUCCUACGGGAGGCAGCAGUGGAGAAUAUUGCACAAUGGGCGGAAGCCUGAUGCAGCAACGCCGCGUGCGGGAUGACGGCUUUCGGGUUGUAAACAGAUUUCGCCUGUGACGAAGAGUGAGUGACGGUAAUGGGUCAAGAAGCACCGGCUAACUACGUG
Molecule: ribosomal RNA, 468 nt
Filed under: uncultured bacterium
Lineage: Bacteria
Description: partial 16S ribosomal RNA
Rfam family: Bacterial small subunit ribosomal RNA
Source: RNAcentral